Molecule: long non-coding RNA, 432 nt
Filed under: Androctonus crassicauda
Lineage: Eukaryota; Metazoa; Arthropoda; Arachnida; Scorpiones; Buthidae
Source: RNAcentral
AAGGCUAGAGCAGAGGGUCCAGUACUAAACGAAAAAACCGCAAUAGAAGUCCCAGAUGCAUGGACAUAUCUGGCAACAAGGAAAGAGGCAAAACGAAGCAGAAAUCUACAUGUUUAAUUUGCAAUUUACUUUUUGGGUUUAAUUUGAUUUGUUUAAUUUAUAAUUUAGUUUGUUUAUUUUACAAUUUAACUUUUUACUUUAUAAUCGUGUGUAAUCUUUGCAACGCUUUAUUUAAUCUCUGGCAAAAAUUUAAUAUACUGUUAUAUGCUUAGUAGUAUUUAUUAUUGUAACCAUAGAAACCGCUAGUUUAUUUUUGUACUUUAUUUAGAAUUAUGUUCAAAAAAUGUUCCAAGUUCUUAUAUUGUUGACCGUUAUUCCCUGAGGAUGACAAAGUUGUAAUUUGUCGAAAAUGUUAGGAAUAAAGAGUGUAAU